GACCACGAGGGAAACAGCCCAACCAAGAGGCACGGGUCUCGCGAGACGACUGGAGCAGGGGAAGCCAGCGCCGCCUCCACCAGGGCCUUCCCUGAGCCGGCUCCCCCCUCCCCCGCCCCUCCCCCAGACCCCGCCCCUCCCCAGCCCCACCCCUCCCUCAGCCAGGCUUGCUCAGGUGCCGGCCAGACCCUCCCUCAUCAUGCUGUGCUCGCUGGAUGGUGCGUGUCUGUCUGUCUCCCCUCCUGGGCUGUGAGCACUUGGGACACAGGGCUUUUCCUAACUGGGGUUUUUAUUCCUUGCACUAGGGAGACAGUGCCCAGCUGCACUGAGUUUUCAGUGAAGACAUUAUGAAUGAAUGAAGAACGAACGAAUGAGUCUGAGACUCAUGCCGGUGAGGACGCCUCGGGUCGUGAGUAACGGAGGAGCCAAGUCCAGGCGGCCUAACCCUGACGAGAUGCAUCGUCUCGGAUAAGGUUCUGGGGCGAGGUGGGCGGCAGGCACGGCGUCGUCAGGGCCCCAGCUCCCCGGUUCUGUGGUCCCCUGGGCUCUGCCUCUCUGUCCUCAGGCACCCUUUCUCGUGGCUUCGAGGUGGGCACUGCCAGCUGUUGGUGGGGCAAGCCACUCAUUCAUGCCCAGAGGGAGAAAGAUGGUGGAGUGAAAGUCCUUCUCGCCCAUCUGGUUGGCCAGCCUAGUCACACGUCUGCUCCUGAACCUGCACCAGUCACCGGGGGCAUCCGUGUGCCGACUGGCUGAGAUAUUAACCAGUGGGGAGGGCGGCAAACUGUGACUGGCCAAGCAGGAUUCAUCCAUGGCCUCCCGAGUCCAUAGCGAGUAUGGAGGAGAGGAGAGUGGGCACCAGGCCAAAACGGGGUCCUGGGGGAAAGACGGAGUGGAGAGGUAACCUGUGUGGCAGUGACCCACUGAGGGACGAUGGGACGCCCCCCCUACCCCAGGUCUCUGCCUCUUUCCCCCUAAACAAGUGGGUUAUACAUGACAACCCACAUUUCUUGGGUGCAUACUUGGAGUGACGUGGGCUCUGUACCUCGAGCUUCAUGGGCACAGUCCCAUCGGGACCCCCUUCCCCUGGGAAGGAAUUGCAAUCACUCCAUUGCAGAGCUGAGAGAACAGAGGUGCAGAGAAAUUAAGAAACUUGUCCAAAAUUGCCCAGCUGGUCAGUGAUGGGGCUGGGGGCUGAUGCCUGCAUCCACAGGACAGGCUACUGAGAUCCAAGGAUGCCUAAGGAUGACCAGCAAGGUCUUUUCAAGAUGGGAUGUUCUCCGUGGUACCCAGGGCACCGGUUCCCUCCCCAUCCUACCUUCCCUCUGCCCGCAUCUCUGCCCUCUCCCUCCAGGGCCUGGCAUCCUCAGUGGGCAGAGAGCACGGGCUGCUCAUGCACCCUUGGCCCUUCCCAGAGUCCCUGAAAGGCAGGUGGCACGGAAUCCUGGAAGCCAGGACCACCACCUACCUGGCUGCGGCGGGAAGGGCAGAGCUGCAGCCUGGGGUGUCCUCUUCCCCAUCUCCUCCCCUGGCCCCCAGUCCCGCCCCUCUGGACCUGCACAGGGCAGGGGGCCAUGAGCCCGCAGGGGGACGUGUGCGUCUGCUGGUGCUGAAGUCCCGCUGAGCAUGCACAGGCCGUCCACCAGCAGAAAGAGGUGACGCCACAGAAGAGGAGGAUCAAAGAUCAAGAGGGCAUUAAUUCUGAGGCUCUGUGAUCCCCUCCCUGGGGGGGGCGUGAGGAGGAGGCUGCUGCUGAGUCAGGACCGCCCUCCUGGCUGCCGUGGGAGCAGUAAUGUCAGAAGCACGACGGAGGGCGGGGGUCCUCAGUGGCGCCUGCUCAGGGCUUGGGCCGGGCCGCCGCCCCCGCGCACCUGUCCGCUGGGCCAGCGUUCGUGGUGCGUGAGGGACAGCGUGCGGGCCAGGCUGGCUGCCCACAGCACCUCAUGAGACCCUCACGCCUGCGCCAAGUCCUGAGCGUUGGCCCUCUUCCCUGUUUGCCUGCACUCUGGACCCCUCUUCCCAAGCUGGACAACUGGGGACUUCUCCAGACCCUGUGCCCGCACCCCGCCUGGCCCAGGACGGCCCGGAGCUCGCGCCCUGGGAACCAGGGGUCUCUUCCCCCCAACGCUCUCUUCUCACUGCUCUUGGCAGGAGCAGCAUUUUCUGCCUGUGCCCCUCAAAUUCAUCGCCCCCCGAUGCCUGGGAAAAUGCAAAUAAAAGUAAGAUUAUGCUAUUUUUCGUACAUAAGGAAUGUAGCCACUCGAAUCUGGUUUGGGCUGUCAGCUGAACCCACCAGAGAGGAAUCGACGUUGAGAUAUUCACGUGUGUUCUCAUGGAGCAUUUACUGUGGCGUGUGGGGCUCCCGGAAAGCCUUUAUAUAAAUUAUUCAUUAUGGAAUUCAGAUGAAAUGCCAAAACCCCUCCCAGCCAGGGGCGGCCUUUUUUGCUCUAAUUUUUUUCUGUUACCUCUGAAGAGCCGGUCCCCAUUAGCAUCCAACCCGCUGGCCAGGCAGGCGGCAUAAUUAUUGGGGCGAAAUGAAUGGGCCAGUGCCAUGAUUCUGACCCUGUGCUUGUGUCUCUUCAAGGCAGCUUGACUUUUCUUAAAGGAUUUUCUCUGCUGGCAGCUCGAGUGCUAACGUCCUCUGGUGCCCUCCAAGAGCCAUGUUUUCCGGGGGCGGUGGAGACCCAGGCCCGUCUCCUGCCGCCUGUCUUUGGAGAGGGAGACCCGUUUCUCCCAUUAAUCGAGCCCUUCCAGGCCCCUUCAGGCCCCAACCUGGGGGAGAGUUGGUCAGUAGAGAGAAGAACGAGGCUCAGAGACAGUUGUGGGCUGAGCUCUGUCGUCCCCCAAACCCGAAUGUAGAAGUGUCAGCCCCAGGACGUGUGAGUGUGACCUUAUUUGGAAAUAGGUCUUUACAGACAUGAUCAAACGAGACCACUGGGGGCACCCUGACCCGAUGACUGGUGUCCUUACGAGAAGGGGACACUUAGACACAGACGUGCAGACAGGAGUGCACCGUCUGAAGGCCUGGGAGAGAGGCCUCAGGAGGACCCAAAGCCAACGACAGCCUGAUCUCCGACUUCCCGCCUCCAGAGCCGUGAGAAAAUGCACCCCUGCUGUUGAGGCCCUCUGGCCUCUGCUGGUUUGUUCUGGCAGCCUGAGCAAGUUCACCCAGCGAUAAAGUGGCAUCUCGAGGCUCAAAGACAGCGCCUUGGGGUUUGAACCCGUGGCCUCUGUGGCCAGCCUGCUGGGCCUUUGGUUGGAUGAACUGGGAGCAGCUUUGCAAAGUGGCCCUAAGACCUUCCACGACGCCUGGGAGUUAGCAAGACAGAGGCUCAAGCAGGAAUUCUGCCUGCGCCUUCGUCUCUCCCUUUGAAGAGCUUUCCGUAAACGUUUGUGGAGUUAGUUACACAAUUCACACAUGAAUAAGUGAAUGAGGGAGCGAGGGAGUCCCACUCACCAGGGUGAUGCCCCAAGGCCGCGCUGCGUGUUUGGUGACAAUGACAGGCCACGUGUCUGGAGCCACCGUGGAGCUGCCCACAGGCCUCCCGCUCCUCUGCGCAGCAGGGCGAGACUGAGAGGGCUCAGCCUCUGGGAACCGGGUGGGGUCCUGCCCUCCUGGAGUCCCGGGGCCGGGAGCGGGUUCCACAGGGAGAGGACAGCCGGGGACAUGCUGCCCGAGCUGCGGCCGGCCAGCCGGCCCUCCAGGGCCUUCCCCACGUCCCAGUGAGGCCCACCGGCCUGGCGCAAGUCCCAGGGUGGCCCGGCACGGCCUCAGAUGACCUUUCAGGGACCUCCUGUUUCCGCUGUCGGGAUUAUCAAUCGCUUCUUUUCUCUGAGGGAGGUGUGGGCGGCGCAUCCAGAAAACUCUGUGAGAUUCAUGGGCUUCAUGCUGAAAACAUUCACCGCCUCACAGAGGAGCAGCCGGCCCCGAGACGCCCCCCCGGACCCUCGUGCGUCCAUUCUCCCUGCCUUCAGG
This is a non-coding RNA of Vicugna pacos (alpaca), 3973 nucleotides long. Lineage: Eukaryota; Metazoa; Chordata; Mammalia; Artiodactyla; Camelidae. The record is from RefSeq and is a predicted model, not a curated record.